GUGUCUCUAUCAGAGUUUGAUCCUGGCUCAGGACGAACGCUGGCGGCGUGCUUAACACAUGCAAGUCGAACGAAGGGAAGUGGGAGCUUGCUCCUAUGGAACUUAGUGGCGAACGGGUGAGUAACGCGUAAUCAACCUGCCCUUCAGAGGGGGACAACAGAUGGAAACGUCUGCUAAUACCGCAUACGUUCUUGUUAUCGCAUGAUGAUGAGAAGAAAGGUGGCCUCUUGAAAAAGCUACCACUGAAGGAGGGGAUUGCGUCUGAUUAGCUAGUUGGAGGGGUAACGGCCCACCAAGGCGAUGAUCAGUAGCCGGUCUGAGAGGAUGAACGGCCACAAGGGGACUGAGACACGGCCCUU
RNAcentral lists this ribosomal RNA (359 nucleotides) under uncultured bacterium. Its description in RNAcentral is "bacterial SSU rRNA". It matches the Rfam family "Bacterial small subunit ribosomal RNA", at positions 1 to 334 of the family's 1533-position model. The record is from RNAcentral.